This is a long non-coding RNA of Rana temporaria (common frog), 330 nucleotides long. RefSeq lists it as uncharacterized. The record is from RefSeq and is a predicted model, not a curated record. NCBI's taxonomy places the organism in Eukaryota, Metazoa, Chordata, Amphibia, Anura, Ranidae. The transcript is spliced from 4 exons.
AAUCAUCUCGAGGGGUCCAGUCCUCUUGGAGGUAGCUGAGUUUGGAACCAGAUCCUUCCGGGACCCAAGACUAAAACGGGUGAAUUCGGUGCAGCAACUUGCCACCCAGUGGAAACAGAGGGUACAUGCGAUUAAGAACGCAAAUAUUUCAGCUCAAACUGCACUGAUCAAUGAGCUCACCAAGCCUGCAGUUAGCUCAGCUCCAAUGUUUGGAGGACAAUAAAACUCUAGCUUUCCCACUACAAGUGAAUUCGGUGCAGCAACUUGCCACCCAGUGGAAACAGAGGGUACAUGCGAUUAAGAACGCAAAUAUUUUAGCUCAAACUGCAC